This 460-nucleotide ribosomal RNA is filed under the name uncultured bacterium. RNAcentral's name for it is "partial 16S ribosomal RNA". It matches the Rfam family "Bacterial small subunit ribosomal RNA", at positions 338 to 795 of the family's 1533-position model. The record is from RNAcentral.
CCUACGGGUGGCAGCAGUGAGGAAUAUUGGUCAAUGGGCGUAAGCCUGAACCAGCCAAGUCGCGUGAGGGAUGAAGGUUCUAUGGAUCGUAAACCUCUUUUAUCAGGGAAUAAAGUGCGGGACGUGUCCCGUUUCGUAUGUACCUUAUGAAUAAGGAUCGGCUAACUCCGUGCCAGCAGCCGCGGUAAUACGGAGGAUCCGAGCGUUAUCCGGAUUUAUUGGGUUUAAAGGGUGCGUAGGCGGCCAGUCAAGUCAGCGGUGAAAGUCUGGGGCCUAACCAUCGAAUUGCCGUUGAAACUGGUGUGCUUGAGUAUGUGUGAGGCAGGCGGAAUGCGUGGUGUAGCGGUGAAAUGCAUAGAUAUCACGCAGAACCCCGAUUGCGAAGGCAGCCUACCAAGCCAUGACUGACGCUGAUGCACGAAAGUGUGGGGAUCGAACAGGAUUAGAUACCCGUGUAGUC